AGUGGGGAAUUGUUCGCAAUGGGCGCAAGCCUGACGACGCAACGCCGCGUGGAGGAUGAAGAAUUUCGGUUCGUAAACUCCUUUCGAUCGAGAUGAACAUCCCUCGGCCUAAUACGCCGGAGGACUGACAGUAUCGAGAGAAGAAGCCCCGGCUAACUCUGUGCCAGCAGCCGCGGUAAUACAGAGGGGGCAAGCGUUGUUCGGAAUUACUGGGCGUAAAGGGUUCGUAGGUGGCCGAUUUAGUCAGACGUGAAAUCCCUCAGCUCAACUGGGGAACUGCGUCUGAUACUGAUUGGCUUGAGUGCAGGAGAGGAACGCGGAAUUCCAGGUGUAGCGGUGAAAUGCGUAGAUAUCUGGAGGAACACCGGUGGCGAAGGCGGCGUUCUGGACUGUAACUGACACUGAGGAACGAAAGCCAGGGGAGCAAA
RNAcentral lists this ribosomal RNA (428 nucleotides) under uncultured Acidobacteriota bacterium. RNAcentral's name for it is "bacterial SSU rRNA". It matches the Rfam family "Bacterial small subunit ribosomal RNA", at positions 353 to 772 of the family's 1533-position model. Lineage: Bacteria; Pseudomonadati; Acidobacteriota. The record is from RNAcentral.